Molecule: long non-coding RNA, 982 nt
Filed under: Pan troglodytes (chimpanzee)
Lineage: Eukaryota; Metazoa; Chordata; Mammalia; Primates; Hominidae
Description: lincRNA
Source: RNAcentral
GGAGUUGCUGAGAAGGACCUGCGGUUCUGACCUUCAGGGGAAUUCCCACGUCUGUAUGGUGGCUCGUGAAGAGCAUGGUUCCUUUUCUCAGCCCUCUUGAGGGGCGAGGAUGCUGAGGACUGAAGUCUGUGGGGUUGAUGCAUGUGGGCCUGCUCUCUGUCAUGUGAUGCUAUACUACAGCCAGGCUGGAAUUUGGUGUCUUAUUGCUACAAAGAGUCAGCUUUGUCAAUCCUAAGGUCCCCGAGAGGCUGCCACAGGGCCAUUUUCAUGACCAGAGGGGUCUGUUCAACACCCUGUGGGUCCCAGCACCUAUCUCAGGAAGCAGGGUGCAUCUGUCCACCACCAAGUCUCAGGGUGGCUGGGUGAGUGCUCAUCAGUCCCAGACAGCAGGUUGGCACAAAACGACACUGCCCACAAAACCACAGGAAGAAGAGAAACUCCGACUGUCUUUCAGUACACAGAAGACACUGUACUGGACCCGGACAUUAGGCAGACACCCACGCCUGACUUUCAGGAGAAAAGAGAACAUGACUAACGGAUAUUCUUAGUAGAUGGUUUAUUAGAAAAGAGAACAUCUUCCAGCAUGUGUCCUGGGGUGAUGGGUGUGGGAAGCACUCAGUCCAUAGUCCUGGUCCCUGGCUUCCCCAAGCCCAGCGCCGUGAAUGUACAGUGGAAAGCAGAGGGUGCAGCGUCUCAGAAAGAUGCUUCCACUCACAAGGAUUGGAGCUCACAAGUGAGCUCGAUAACCUGCAAACCAGAGAAACCUGAGACACUGCCCCUUGGCCAUUUUAUCAACGGAGACUUUAUUGUGAUUAUCCCGGCAGGGGGCCGAGCUCUCCUCUCUGCAAGAGGAAAUGCUCUUUAGUGAAAAUGCAGCAUUUCUCCAAGGGUAGCAAAGCUGAACGCCUGCUUAGCUUAUGAACCCUCAGUUGGCCUAGGUGGUGCAAAGACCCUGCUGUUACUGCUUUGAUCAUCAGUACUG